AAACCGCCCAGAGGUAAACGGGUGGAUCCGCAAAGUCGGCCUGCGGAAUUCAACGCGGCGCGCAGUCCGGGGCUGCCGUGACUCGGGAUCCCUGGGACCCGGUUGCGGUGCCGAGCCGGACUCCGCCGCGUGCACUUUCCGCGGGCAGAGAGCCACAACCGGUUCGGUGGAGCGCGGUGACAAGCCUGUUGGGUUGUAGGUGGGGGCGCUCGCGUCCCUACCAGCCCUUCACGGCGAGCCGCCGCCGGACCGAGGAACCGCCGCGCGCCUCGAGGCCACCCUCCCCUCCGGGUGAGUUCGACAGGGAGAGACUGGGCAACCGUGUCUCCCGACCGCUCACCCGCGAUCGGAGUGGGGAUGGCCGGGCGCGCUCAGUCUGACAGGGUUGGUGGCAAGUCUGUCGGCAUUCCACCCGACCCGUCUUGAA
This 427-nucleotide ribosomal RNA is filed under the name Microphysula ingersollii. RNAcentral describes it as "partial 28S ribosomal RNA". Lineage: Eukaryota; Metazoa; Mollusca; Gastropoda; Stylommatophora; Thysanophoridae. The record is from RNAcentral.